Molecule: long non-coding RNA, 264 nt
Organism: Talpa occidentalis (Iberian mole)
Lineage: Eukaryota; Metazoa; Chordata; Mammalia; Eulipotyphla; Talpidae
Exons: 3
Source: RefSeq, a predicted model, not a curated record
AUUUAUGCUUACAAGAACUGGAGUACAGGCCAGAGGUGCUGGGGGUGAGAGGAUUCACCAGAGACAGAGUGACUGAACAAGCAGACUGACUGAAAUACACUGUUAAAGGGAGCAGCAGUCCCCCUAUUCUAGAAGAGAACCUCCAAGAAAGGAUGUUGUCUGCCUGUUCAUCAUUGUAUUCCUAGGCCCUGGAAUAGUAACUGGUAUAUUAGGAGGCAUGCUUUAAUGAUGUGCUGCAGAUGAGUAUUGAGAAUAAUUGAAGAA